This is a non-coding RNA of Schizosaccharomyces pombe (fission yeast), 236 nucleotides long. The record is from the annotation of a GenBank genome assembly. Lineage: Eukaryota; Fungi; Ascomycota; Schizosaccharomycetes; Schizosaccharomycetales; Schizosaccharomycetaceae.
UCCGACAUCGUUUUUUAACAGCAACCUUAAGGGAUAUAAAAAAUCCUGGAACACAAUAAAAGAUACUAUUAAAUAUCUAUUUAUAUAAAAAAGAUAUUUUUUCAAAACGUCCAAUAUUAAAACAAAAGAAGGAUCAACCUUCUCUAUUCUAUAGUUUCGCUUUUACCGUAUAUACACACUUCCAAGCAACAACAUCCACAAACAAACUAAAUUCUGCGCUUGUAUUUUUCUGAAAA